Molecule: long non-coding RNA, 203 nt
Organism: Archocentrus centrarchus (flier cichlid)
Lineage: Eukaryota; Metazoa; Chordata; Actinopteri; Cichliformes; Cichlidae
Exons: 3
Source: RefSeq, a predicted model, not a curated record
CGGAAGUGGGACAAGUCUGCCGUGAAGCGCGUGGAUCUGUGCUCGCUGACCUUUUUGUGUGUUUGGAAAGAGUUGCAGCUUCGUCCCGCAGCUUCAUCUAAAGGCCGAAGAGUCUAAGGUUCCAGCGACGUGAGUAGGCUUCCAGCUGAUCAUCAGGAGGAGGAGAGUCUGACGGAGCAGCAGAGGAACAUUUUCAGCCUCUA